Molecule: long non-coding RNA, 5259 nt
Organism: Peromyscus leucopus (white-footed mouse)
Lineage: Eukaryota; Metazoa; Chordata; Mammalia; Rodentia; Cricetidae
Exons: 2
Source: RefSeq, a predicted model, not a curated record
GGAGGGCAUUCUGUUGUCAUUGUUACUUGAAAAAACAUUGUUUCUAGAAAGCUCUCUUUACAGUCCCUUUUUAAUUAACCUUGUUUACUACAAUUGAAACAUCUGACAUUACUAUUUUUCUUCAAAUCUUUUGAAAUCACCUCUUUUAUCCAAGUAUCAUCAUGGCCAUGAGAUCAUAUCAUAUGCAUUCCCCAUUUGUGAAGCAGAUGCAAAACUCAUGGUCAACUUGUAAUAGAAUUAUCCCUCAAGACUGGAGAGAUUUGGUUACAGCUGUCUUAGAAGCUGGUCCCCAAUAAUGAUGGAGGAACUGGUGGAAGGAUGAGGCUAAGACUAUUAGCCAAUGAAUCUUGAGCUAAUUGGCAUUGAAAAUGCUAAUGCACAAUGCAAAAGGGUAAUUAGGCUGUUAAAGACAAGAUCAGCACCCUUGUAGGAAUGGAUCUGAGAAACAAUAAAUAUUGUGCUCUUGCAGUAUCAAAACAUUAAAGUACCCUUUUUUAACUUUAAGAGGGAAGAUACAGGGCACAGCCACAAUCUGCAUAAAACAAAACCAAGCUCCAAGAGUGCAAACAAAUUCAAAGUUCAGUACAUGGGAUUCGUUCACAUUCCUUUGGGCUUCCCUGAGGGGUUAGAUCACCUCUUUGUUCCAGCCCUCAGCAGCAUAUACACAGCCUGCCUUCUAGAUCCCAGCCUGCUCCAUUUCAUUGUGGCUGGUGCUUCUGGUGACUGUCACAUGGCACCGGCAUUUCCAAAACUGCUAGGGUCCACCAUUGCAACUGGGCUCUCUCUAGGAACUGUAGCCCGGCCACACUGUUGCAAGCCUCAGCUGCUCCCCAUGACCCCUUCAUGUCUUUCAUGAAAACGUCACCAACUGGGUGACUCUAUGUUACCAAGUUUUGCUGCCAGCACAAGGUACAUUCUGGCAUAUGAAGGCAUGGAGGUGCAGAUUUAUUACCUUAUUAAACAAACAUUGUUUUUAAAUCCCAUCUUUCAUAAACCUUGUUUUUAGGACAGGACAGAAUAGGACAAGACAUGACAAAACAGGAAUUAUCCAAAAUUCCAUCCUAAUCCAAAAUAUCUUGGAGACCUGUUGUUACCUCCUUGGUAGACCUGUGCCAUGUGGUCACCUUUAAUCAAGAUGGUAGUGAAGCCACAUGACAUCCAUCUUCCCCCCAACCCUAACAAAGAUGGCUGCCAGCCAUGUGGCUGCCUAAAUAUGGUGGCAGUACAUGAGUUGCUUAUAUUGCAAAAUGGAACCAUGCCACAUGGUUCCUUUAAGAUUACCUAUGCGGGGUUGGGGAUUUAGCUCAGUGGUAGAGUGCUUGCCUAGCAAGGGCAAGGCCCUGGGUUCGGUCCUCAGCUAGAAAAAAAAAAAGAUUACCUGUGCAUAGAGUUUUAACUCUCAACCCCCACUGUUACUAGUUUUAAGUUAACUUUUUUCAUAGAUUUCACAGACUUUUAGCCAUAUACAAUAAAAUAAACGUAUAAAUACUGAGGUACAGAAUGCUCACAUAAACCAAAUCUAAUUUUUUGGACUGAUCCAAAAGCUUUCUUUUCCCUGUCUUGUCUAAGGUGAGUCAGCUGACACAGGACACAGAGGAAACUUUUAAAUAGAGAAGGAAGAGCCAUAAGCCAACUCUAGCUCCAGCUUUCCAAUAAAAUAAAACAGCAUAAAACAACUUUACUGUUAUUCAUGCCCAAAGGACAUCUGAAUGCCUGAUGACCUGUGGGCAGAGAGCUCAGGGAUAGAUUCUGAGCCCUGGCCGUAGGAGCAGCCAUGGUAGCUGUGGCAGCUGGAGACUACUGGCAGCAGAGACAGCAAAAAUGUCUGACCUAUUUCUGUCUCAGCCCUAUGCUUGCAAUAAAACUUACAGACACCCAGAAAAACAGAGAGAGAUAAAACUUCCCAACAAAACAGGCAGACACAACUUUCCAGCAGGACAGACAAAACCUUCCCUGGGACACAGACAAAAGUUUCCAACCAAAACCAGAACCAGGUAUGUGUGUGACAUCUCGCUAUUUGUCCUGGAUGGGAGAAUGUUGGGGUCCUGUUGAAGCCCCUCCACUUCCCAGAUAGGCAUCCCACAAAACAGAACCCGACUAUGACUCACCAGGAGGCCUCCUCAGAUGCUUGCUGCUUUUCUCAGCGUGGGAGUUCACCCUGAAAAUCCACAUACCAAAGGCGGCUCUGAGCCUUGGACCGUCUCAAGGCACGUGCCCUCUGAAGCAGCCCCUCAGCCCCAGAGUUCCAGAGGGAAAGUCUAGCUUUAGAAUUUUUGAUAGAUGGUCUGAAUCUCUCUGGGGGGAUCCAGGAAAUGUUAAUAAUAAGAUGGUCAAUAAUAAGAUGACUACCACAAUUUAAAGCCAAAUUUGAAGCAAACUUUAAUUAAAUAGUGGCCAGGUGCAUGAGCUCUGGCCAGGUCCACACCUAGGUUCCCUGAAAAUGGCCCCAAGUCACGUUUGCGAGGGCUUAAGAAGGAAAACCCACAAUUCACUGCGUUUCCCCUCAGGUCCAAUCAGAGGCAACAUACAUCCUGACUUCCUUCCCGCACACCUGCCGCCAGCAUCUAGUCCGGGCAAGGUUACAUCCGGUCACACUUCCUGCCAUGGAACCUCAGGGCAUGUGGGCUCAAGCACAUUGGGUACAGAUGAGUCAAACAGAUGUGUUUGGGGAAGUGGAAACAUGUGGCUUGUUAUCUCGAUAAAGAGCAGCCCUCAGCGUUUCAAGAAAUACUAGUCCCUGGACAAGGGGCUUGGAGAGCAGGGGCAUUUUUGUUUCAUUGUUCUCUUAAGUAAAAUGUAAAACUUAACAUGGGCUGUCUCAGCAGCAGAGACACUUCUGAUCUCAUGAAGAGCCUACAAGCUGGGCCUCUGCUGUUCCUAUGAUGGCCUCACAUAUGGGCCCCCAUUGUUUCUUAUGGGAGGCUAAGAAACAGCAGAAGCCCAGGAGCUGGGCCUCUCAUAAGAAAAAUGCAGAGACCCAGGAGCUGGGCCUCCCAUUAGAAACAGCAGAGGCCCAGGAGCUGGGCCUCCCAUAAGAAAAAUGUGGUUGGGGGAGGAGGGGAUCACAACACUGGGUAGUUUGAGAACCACUGACUUAGAGAAUGUUACUCCUUACCCAGGGUCUAUUCAUGCUUAAGAAUGUACAUCUAGCCUCCUUGUCUUUCCUAACUUUGUUAAGCUUAAGCUAUUUUUGAUAAACUGAAUCAUAUAAAAAAACUGUUAUAUUCUGUAACAGUGCACUAUCAAAGGAUCAGAAACAUUCCCAGUCUCUCUGUGGACUGUGUUUAUGAGUUCAAAGUUUUAUUUGAUACUAAAAAGAGCUUCAAUUCAGAAAUUGUCAUUAUUUAAGGCUCGCUUGUAAACUGUGAAAGAUGAUUAAGACAUGCAAGUAAAUAGCCAUCUCAUAAAGGAUCAAAUUCUUUAAUAUGUUCAGAACUAUAAUUGUAGUCAUGCCAAGCACUAAUGUAAUUAAUUAUAGGAAAGAGCUUUAUUUAGCCUCCUAUAUGUGUUUUAUAAGGUUAAGCCUAGUUUUGUUUACCUCAGAUUUACUUAAUAGAUAAUGGUCCUCAAACUUGUCAGAGAUCUGAUGAAUAUGGUAUUAAAAUGUUUAAUGGAAAAAGCUUAGCAUGACAGAGACCCACAGCUCCUACCAGUGACCCCGAGAUCUGCAAAGAAGAUGACAGGGCACCAUGAAAACUCCACCUGGAUUAUGGUAAUGCUAACCACUUGGAAAGACUGCCACAAGGCUGCGUCAGCCACCAGAACCCAGCCCAAACUGUGGACAAGCAGGACAGUGAGAGUUCAUCGCCCCACUUUGCCCAGACAAAGUAAGGUCAAUCCCCACCAUGUUUCUCCUCCACAGGAAAAGCCUCUCAUCUAUUGGAUCUGGUGGCUGAAGACUGAUGCUGUCCUGGUACUUCUGCCCCCAAAGCCAACGAGACCACAGGAGCCUGAUAUGACCAUCUGGCAGAUUUCCACUCGGCUGACAGACACCAUCCAAACAUCAGCUGCUAACUACAACCUGUUCCAAACAACUGUGGAUCAAUCCAACCAAUCAGAUCGCUCCCUGUCUUGAGCUGGAUCAGCAAACCAGAUGCUUCUGAUGAAUAAUGCUCCAUUGCCUGAAUUCCUUCCUCCAUUUGACUAGCAUUCUAGCCUUCCUGGGCCCUGACAACAAUGUUCUAGUUUCAGCAGGAAGGAGUUAUAGAAGAGACUAACUACAUCAUCCCUUGUCCUCCGAUAGGCUGGAAUGUUAGAUCAAAAGAAUACUCCCUGGCACAGGAGACAAAAUAGCUACCUACAGUGCCUAUUGGCAUGUUGGGAAAGGCACCUACUAAAACCAAAUAGACCCAGAUCUGGCAACAGGUAAAUUCAUUAGCUGAAACAUUUCUACAAUAUUAUAGGGUACUCAACCUGCUCUAUGUAAAACAGAGGCUAUUGUGUGGCUUCAAGAGAAAAUUGUUGUUUCUAUAUAAACCACUCAGGGAUUAUUAGAGAUAACCUGGGUGUGUUCAACGAAAGCAUUGCAAAAAAGGAGACCUGAAAUGAAAUAAAUAAUUGGUCCCCAUUCUCAUUUCCAGGCUCCUUCUAAAUAGUGACUCUGAUGUCAGUCAUCACAGGGCCUUUGGAUCUUCUGUUUCUGCCAAUCACUGUUGACUCUUACAUCACUGAUGCUUUAACUAAGUGAUAAGUCCUGUCUGGGUACCAUUAAGCUUAUGGUUAUUAGAUCCUAAUAUAUACAGGUACCUAUCACAGAGUCCAGGAUUUGAUACAGUGUAUAAAUCAAGAUAGAAGGAAGAAAGCCCGAGUUAAAUUUUAAGUUUAAAUUACUAUGCCUAAGAGAUCCAUGAAACCAAAAUGCCCCUGAUCUGCAGUCACCUUGCCCAAAGACAGAUAGUUCCUGAAAUGCUAGAGGCUAUUAUUUGUGAGAAAUAAUAAGCCACAUGUAUCUACUCCCUAAAGACGUUGUUUGACCCAUCCACAACCGAUGUGCUUGAUCACAUGUGAGCGGACGUAGGUGGGUAGGAAAUGUAUCAGGAUGCCCUUGAUUGGAUAUAGGCAGGGAGUAUGCAGGCAAAAAUAGGGUAGGAUGUAUGCCUCUACCUGAUUGGACCUGAUGAGAAAUGUAGGAAACUGUGGGUUUGGCCUUUUUAAGCCCAUAUAAAAUGUGAUCUGGGGGCAUUUCCUGGGAACUGGGUAUGGACAUGGGCAGAGUGUAUCCUCCUGGACACUAUAAAAUUAAAGCUUGCUUCAAAUCUA